This 538-nucleotide ribosomal RNA is filed under the name fungal sp. AM2013. Its description in RNAcentral is "eukaryotic LSU rRNA". The stretch from base 149 to 302 matches the Rfam family "5.8S ribosomal RNA". Lineage: Eukaryota; Fungi. The record is from RNAcentral.
UCUAAACAACUCAUCAACCCUGUGAACAUACCUAAAACGUUGCUUCGGCGGGAAUAGACGGCCCCGUAACACGGGCCGCCCCCGCCAGAGGACCCCUAACUCUGUUUCUAUAAUGUUUUUUUUCUGAGUAAACAAGCAAAUAAAUUAAAACUUUCAACAACGGAUCUCUUGGCUCUGGCAUCGAUGAAGAACGCAGCGAAAUGCGAUAAGUAAUGUGAAUUGCAGAAUUCAGUGAAUCAUCGAAUCUUUGAACGCACAUUGCGCCCGCCAGUAUUCUGGCGGGCAUGCCUGUUCGAGCGUCAUUACAACCCUCAGGCCCCCGGGCCUGGCGUUGGGGAUCGGCGAGGCGCCCCCUGUGGGCACACGCCGUCCUCUAAAUACAGUGGCGGUCCCGCCGCAGCUUCCAUUGCGUAGUAGCUAACACCUCGCAACUGGAGAGCGGCGCGGCCAUGCCGUAAAACACCCAACUUCUGAAUGUUGACCUCGAAUCAGGUAGGAAUACCCGCUGAACUUAAGCAUAUCAAUAAGCCGGGAGGAA